Molecule: non-coding RNA, 25 nt
Filed under: Cricetulus griseus (Chinese hamster)
Lineage: Eukaryota; Metazoa; Chordata; Mammalia; Rodentia; Cricetidae
Source: RNAcentral
GCUCCUGGGACAGGAUACUGUCUGG